RNAcentral lists this ribosomal RNA (253 nucleotides) under uncultured bacterium. RNAcentral describes it as "partial 16S ribosomal RNA". It matches the Rfam family "Bacterial small subunit ribosomal RNA", at positions 524 to 776 of the family's 1533-position model. The record is from RNAcentral.
GACGGAGGGUGCUAGCGUUGUUCGGAAUGACUGGGCGUAAAGGGCGCGUAGGCGGCCGCUUGCGUCGGAUGUGAAAGCCCGGGGCUCAACCCAGGAACUGCGUCCGAUACUGGUUGGCUUGAAUCCGGGAGAGGGAUGUGGAAUUCCAGGUGUAGCGGUGAAAUGCGUAGAUAUCUGGAGGAACACCGGUGGCGAAGGCGACAUCCUGGACCGGCAUUGACGCUGAGGCGCGAAAGCCAGGGGAGCAAACGGG